Molecule: ribosomal RNA, 253 nt
Filed under: uncultured bacterium
Lineage: Bacteria
Description: partial 16S ribosomal RNA
Rfam family: Bacterial small subunit ribosomal RNA
Source: RNAcentral
UACAGAGGGUGCUAGCGUUGUUCGGAAUCAUUGGGCGUAAAGGGCGUGUAGGCGGUUUGUUAAGUCAUGUGUGAAAUCCCUCGGCUCAACCGGGGAACGACGCAUGAAACUGGCAAGCUAGAGUACCAAAGAGGGGGGUGGAAUUCCCGGUGUAGCGGUGAAAUGCGUAGAGAUGUGGAGGAACACCGAUGGCGAAGGCAGCCUCCUGGGCCAAUACUGACGCUCAUGCACGAAAGCGUGGGGAGCAAACAGG